UGGGGAAUAUUGGACAAUGGGCGAAAGCCUGAUCCAGCCAUGCCGCGUGAGUGACGAAGGCCUUAGGGUUGUAAAACUCUUUCGUCGGGGACGAUAAUGACGGUACCCGAAGAAGAAGCUCCGGCUAACUUCGUGCCAGCAGCCGCGGUAAUACGAAGGGAGCAAACGUUGCUCGGAAUUAUUGGGCGUAAAGCGCACGUAGGCGGCUUAGCAAGUUGGAUGUGAAAGCCCUCGGCUCAACCAAGGAAGUGCAUCCAAAACUGCUGAGCUUGAGUACUUAAGAGGAUCGCGGAAUUCCGGGUGUAGCGGUGAAAUGCGUAGAUAUCCGGAGGAACACCAGUGGCGAAGGCGGCCCCCUGGACCCAAACUGACGCUGAGGUACGAAAGCGUGGGUAGCAAACAGGAUUAGAUACCCGAGUAGUCCCUGAGCGGGCUGGCAAGGCGCAU
This 447-nucleotide ribosomal RNA is filed under the name uncultured bacterium. Its description in RNAcentral is "bacterial SSU rRNA". It matches the Rfam family "Bacterial small subunit ribosomal RNA", at positions 355 to 825 of the family's 1533-position model. The record is from RNAcentral.